UACAGAGGGUGCAAGCGUUAAUCGGAAUUACUGGGCGUAAAGCGUGCGCAGACGGUUGCGUAAGUCAGAUGUGAAAGCCCCGGGCUCAACCUGGGAAUUGCAUUCGAGACUGCUCUGCUAGGGUGCGGAAGAGGGAAGCGGAAUUUCCGGUGUAGCGGUGAAAUGCGUAGAUAUCGGAAGGAACACCAGUGGCGAAAGCGGCUUCCUGGUCCAGCACCGACGUUCAGGCACGAAAGCGUGGGGAGCAAACAGGG
This 254-nucleotide ribosomal RNA is filed under the name uncultured bacterium. RNAcentral describes it as "partial 16S ribosomal RNA". It matches the Rfam family "Bacterial small subunit ribosomal RNA", at positions 524 to 777 of the family's 1533-position model. The record is from RNAcentral.